RNAcentral lists this ribosomal RNA (429 nucleotides) under Bacillota bacterium. Its description in RNAcentral is "Firmicutes bacterium partial 16S ribosomal RNA". It matches the Rfam family "Bacterial small subunit ribosomal RNA", at positions 355 to 776 of the family's 1533-position model. The record is from RNAcentral. Lineage: Bacteria; Bacillati; Bacillota.
UAGGGAAUCUUCGGCAAUGGACGGAAGUCUGACCGAGCAACGCCGCGUGAGUGAAGAAGGUUUUCGGAGCGUAAAGCUCUGUUGUUAGAGAAGAACGUUGGUAGGAGUGGAAAAUCUACCAAGUGACGGUAACUAACCAGAAAGGGACGGCUAACUACGUGCCAGCAGCCGCGGUAAUACGUAGGUCCCGAGCGUUGUCCGGAUUUAUUGGGCGUAAAGCGAGCGCAGGCGGUUCUUUAAGUCUGAAGUUAAAGGCAGUGGCUUAACCAUUGUACGCCUUGGAAACUGGAGGACUUGAGUGCAGAAGGGGAGAGUGGAAUUCCAUGUGUAGCGGUGAAAUGCGUAGAUAUAUGGAGGAACACCGGUGGCGAAAGCGGCUCUCUGGUCUGUGACUGACGCUGAGGCUCGAAAGCGUGGGGAGCAAACAGG